This 679-nucleotide ribosomal RNA is filed under the name uncultured crenarchaeote. RNAcentral describes it as "bacterial SSU rRNA". It matches the Rfam family "Archaeal small subunit ribosomal RNA", at positions 26 to 688 of the family's 1478-position model. The record is from RNAcentral. Lineage: Archaea; Thermoproteati; Thermoproteota.
ACUGUUAGCCGAGUGAGACUAAGCUAUGCAAGUUGAAUGAGAUACCAAAAAUUCUCAUAGCGAACUGCUCAGUAACACGUGAUCAACUUACCCUAAGGUGGGGAAUAACCUCGGGAAACUGAGUCUAAUACCCCGUAAUUGAAGAUGCCUGGAAUGGUUUUUCAAUAAAAGAUAUAUUUAAAUGGAAAUAUUUUCGCCAUAGGAUAGGAUUGCGCCCGAGUAGGCAGUUGGUGAGAUAAUGGCUCACCAAACCUAUAAUCGGUAGGGGCCGUGAGAGCGGGAGCCCCGAGAUCGGCACUGAGACAAGUGCCAACGUCUUACGAGAUGCAGCAAGCGCGAAAACUACACAAUGCACGAAAGUGUGAUGCGGUUACUCGGCGUGUCAUCGUGGUAUGACUGUAGCAAGUGGGUAAGAUCCCUUGCGCAGAAAGGAGAGGGCAAGGCUGGUGCCAGCCGCCGCGGUAAAACCAGCUCUUCGAAUGGUCGGGAUGUUUAUUGGGCUUAAAGCGUCCGUAGCCUGUUUAGUAAGUUUUUGGUGAAAUAUGAUAGCUUAACUGUCAAUAAGCUAAAAAUACUGCUUCACUAGGGGGCGGGAAAGGUCUGAGGUACUACUAGGGUAGCGGUGAAAUGCGGUAAUCCUUGUGGGACCACCAGUUGCGAAGGCGUCAGACUGGAACGC